AGCGAACGCUGGCGGCAUGCUUAACACAUGCAAGUCGCACGGGUGGUUUCGGCCAUCAGUGUCGGACGGGUGAGUAACGCGUAGGAACGUGUCCUGAGGUGGGGGAUAACGCUGGGAAACUGGCGCUAAUACCGCAUAUCGGAUGAGGCCGGAAGCCGCGAGGCGCCUUUGGAGUGGCCUGCGUCCGAUUAGCCUGUUGGUGGGGUAAUGGCCUACCAAAGCUGCGACCGGUACCUGGUCUGACAGGACGACCAGCCCACACUGGGACUGAGCCACGGCCCAGACUCCUACGGGAGGCAGCAGUGGGGAAAAUUGGACAAUGGGCGUAAGCCUGAUCCAGCAAUGCCGCGUGGGUGAAUAAGGUCUUCGGAUCGUAAAGCCCUUUCGGCGGGGACGAUGAUGACGGUACCCGCAGAAGAAGCCCCGGCUAACUUCGUGCCAGCAGCCGCCGUAA
Molecule: ribosomal RNA, 454 nt
Filed under: uncultured bacterium
Lineage: Bacteria
Description: partial 16S ribosomal RNA
Rfam family: Bacterial small subunit ribosomal RNA
Source: RNAcentral